Molecule: ribosomal RNA, 261 nt
Filed under: uncultured bacterium
Lineage: Bacteria
Description: partial 16S ribosomal RNA
Rfam family: Bacterial small subunit ribosomal RNA
Source: RNAcentral
UCAUCCCUACGGAGGCAGCAGUGAGGAAUAUUGGUCAAUGGGCGGAAGCCUGAACCAGCCAAGUCGCGUGAGGGAAUAAGGCCCUACGGGUCGUAAACCUCUUUUGCCGGGGAGCAAGGGCCGGGACGAGUCCCGGUCCGGAGAGUACCCGGAGAAAAAGCAUCGGCUAACUCCGUACCAGCAGCCGCGGUAAUACGGAGGAUGCGAGCGUUAUCCGGAUUUAUUGGGUUUAAAGGGUGCGUAAGCGGGCUUUUAAGCCAG